GUCGAGCGAACGGACGAGGAGCUUGCUCCUCUAACGUUAGCGGCGGACGGGUGAGUAACACGUGGAUAACCUACCUAUAAGACUGGGAUAACUUCGGGAAACCGGAGCUAAUACCGGAUAAUAUAUUGAACCGCAUGGUUCAAUAGUGAAAGACGGUUUUGCUAUCACUUAUAGAUGGAUCCGCGCCGCAUUAGCUAGUUGGUAAGGUAACGGCUUACCAAGGCAACGAUGCGUAGCCGACCUGAGAGGGUGAUCGGCCACACUGGAACUGAGACACGGUCCAGACUCCUACGGGAGGCAGCAGUAGGGAAUCUUCCGCAAUGGGCGAAAGCCUGACGGAGCAACGCCGCGUGAGUGAUGAAGGUCUUCGGAUCGUAAAACUCUGUUAUUAGGGAAGAACAAAUGUGUAAGUAACUAUGCACGUCUUGACGGUACCUAAUCAGAAAGCCACGGCUAACUACGUGCCAGCAGCCGCGGUAAUACGUAGGUGGCAAGCGUUAUCCGGAAUUAUUGGGCGUAAAGCGCGCGUAGGCGGUUUUUUAAGUCUGAUGUGAAAGCCCACGGCUCAACCGUGGAGGGUCAUUGGAAACUGGAAAACUUGAGUGCAGAAGAGGAAAGUGGAAUUCCAUGUGUAGCGGUGAAAUGCGCAGAGAUAUGGAGGAACACCAGUGGCGAAGGCGACUUUCUGGUCUGUAACUGACGCUGAUGUGCGAAAGCGU
This 719-nucleotide ribosomal RNA is filed under the name uncultured Staphylococcus sp. RNAcentral's name for it is "bacterial SSU rRNA". It matches the Rfam family "Bacterial small subunit ribosomal RNA", at positions 61 to 762 of the family's 1533-position model. Lineage: Bacteria; Bacillati; Bacillota; Bacilli; Caryophanales; Staphylococcaceae. The record is from RNAcentral.